Cottoperca gobio is the source of this 2763-nucleotide long non-coding RNA. Lineage: Eukaryota; Metazoa; Chordata; Actinopteri; Perciformes; Bovichtidae. The record is from Ensembl.
GAUCUGUUUCCUCUGCUGAUUAGGCUGGCCUCCCAUAUUUUUUCCCCAAAACAGAAAAAAAGACAAGCACUUGGAUUGAUUAACUGUCUGCUGCAACGGUCAGACGUCCUCAGGAGUUUUGUUGCCAAAGCUCGCUCCUUACACAAGUGCCUACGGGACAAUCAGAGAAUCGGGGCACCCUACUUUUGGCCACGCGGCGCCCCUGUCUCGAAUGGUGACCGCCACGACCCCCUGCAACCCCUUCCUGAGACCUGCGCUUCCUGUCACACACAAGCACGCGAGGAGGCAUUAGACAAAGGCGAUGAGAAAGUUUUGAAGGUGUCAGCUUCCUUUUUAUACCAUCCAAUCUGUUUAUAUGAAUACGUCUAUAAUGAUGUGAUGUCAGUGACUGAUUCAGAGUGAGUGGGAGAAUAAUGAGAUGCCCCAUUAUCAUAAUUUCCCUGAUUUAGAUGAGUGGUUUUCUAACUCUGGGUAGUGAGCUCUUGCAUUGUCCUCUUAAACAUUCGCUCUCUCACUAACUCACUCGCUCACUGUGCGUGAGUGUGAGUGUGUGUGUGUGUGUGUGUGUGUGUGUGUGUGUGUGUGUGUGUGUGUGUGUGUUUAUAUCAGCCCACAAACACUGUUUCCGUCAUGAGGGGUAAAAAGAGACCAAACAGAGAUAAUAUUUGGGGAAGGAAGGAUUUUCUGCACUAAUGUUACAAAUUUAACAAUAAAAAAAACAAUGGCAGGUAUAGACGAUCCAUUAUGAGUCACCUUUUGGUUUUAAAACAAGCUCAUUUGCUCAGGAAGUACAUAUUAAAAACAUUCUGCAGUUUACUCUGCACAUAUCAUUGAGACGUGUUAGUUUUCUCUAGAUGUGCAUGUGAUGCAAAAUGACAUUAUUAUGAAGUAUCUGCCAUCUAUAGCUUUAUGUCUGUGGUUUGUGUAGCUUCACGCUUAGACAGGAAAUAAGGAUGAGAUGGUUUUCCUGUCUCUCUUCAUCUAUAUUUUCUUUAGAUUUACAUUUCACAAGGAUUUCUACUUGAACACGCUGUUGAUUUUGUGAGGUGUUAAGGUUGUGUGAUCACUGAUGCAUCACAAUUCUCAUCCACAUCUCAACUACAUUAUCUUAUUGUCAUCAGAGAGGCACUUGAAUGAUUAAGUAUUGCACCUCCAUGAAGUCGGGGGACUCACAAGAGACGGGUUUAAAAAAGAAUAUUCAGAAUUAGUGCUGCAACUAACGAUUCUUUUCAUUACACAUUCAUUUGCCGAUUAUUUUGUCGAUUAAUUGUUGAAUCCUUUGGUCUAUGAAAUGUCAGAAAAUAGAGAAAGAUGUCAAUCUCAGUUUCUCAAAGUCGAAGGUGAUGUCUUGUUUUGUCAGUCCUUAACCCAAAUAUAUUUAGUUUAAUAUGUAAAAUGGCAAAAAGCAGGAAAUAUCAAUAUUUGAGAGGCCAUGUUUGUCUCUCGUAUGGGCCAACCUCCAAAAAGUGUUAGAUCCUUCAUUUCCCAUAAUGCAGCUUGAUUGCAUCUUUCAUUAGACAUCAUCAGGGUUAUUUUUUAAACUGUGGAAACACCGUUCAGAGCUUCAGGACACAUUGUACUCCUGGUGUCACGGGCUUUAUACUCCUUGUGAGGAGUAGUGUUGGACAUGUUACUUAAACAAUGUAUGUAAUUACUCUUUACAUAUUUAACAUUUAAAAAAGUAAUUACAUUACUUUUCUAUUUACUCAACAGCAAAAUGAAUGUGUUACAUGACUGUGGGUUAAUGUGAUUAACUCAAAAUCCUCUAGACUUCACAUGUGUAGAAAUAUAAAACAUAAUUGUAACCAGCAGUCUGCUUACGUUUUAGAGGUGUUACCUGACCAUCAGUAGUGGUAGAACUAGAAGUCACCUCGAGGUCCUGCGUCAAGCUCACAUGUCCUGGUGCGGGGCAGUCACUCCACUGAGUACACUCACCAAACUGACGCAACCUCAUUCAAACUCCUGGUAAGACAGCACACAAGUCCUGAAGUCAAAGUAACAGCAUUACUGGGUUUAGUAACUAUCGUAAAGACUGAAUUACAUAUGCAAACCCUUAUACUUCCCUUUACUGUGAGAAGUCAUCACAUUAUACUCUUACUGCCCUCAAUGGUCACAAUUUAUCUGAAAGAAAAAAAUUCAGAGUUAUAAAUCAUACCAACAUCCACAGCAGAUUUGUUAAGAUUUAUCUUUUCCUUUGCAUCGUAGUAAAUCUAAAGAGUGCUCUCUUCCUCCCAGCCUGAUAGCAGCUAACAGCUCUGUUGGUGAUUGACGUCUAGUAACCACCAAUUAAUGUGCCGGACAAUCUUGAUUUUUAGCCUAAAUUUAGGAAGCCAGCAUUCAAUACGAAGCACAUUAUUAAAUGAUGGAGGAAUGAGCCAUCAUUAGUUCACCGGUUUAGGACAUUUGGAGAUGCUUUAGACAGUUUGACAGUUUAGUUUGACAUUUUGGAAAAUACACUUAUUUGCUUUUUAGAUGAGAAGAUGAAUAUCGCUCUCAUAUCAGUGAGCUAGAAGUGAAGCUACAGCCAGGAAACGGUUCGUUUAAAGACUGGAAACAGGGAAACUAAAGGUAACAAUCUCCCUCACAGCAGAUAAAAAGAUAAAGAAUUAGCACUUGACAUCCUGUGCCUGGCGAGCUGUUUCUCCAGAACCGCAGGAAAAAAAUUGUAUUUCUCUAAAUGUCGAAAAUGGUAUUGUACCCAAGUUUGUAUGUUUGCUGUUGUGUUUUAAACCAAUAAAACUGCGUAAAUCUCCACAUAGCAAU